RNAcentral lists this ribosomal RNA (465 nucleotides) under uncultured bacterium. Its description in RNAcentral is "partial 16S ribosomal RNA". It matches the Rfam family "Bacterial small subunit ribosomal RNA", at positions 338 to 795 of the family's 1533-position model. The record is from RNAcentral.
CCUACGGGAGACAGCAGUGGGGAAUAUUGCGCAAUGGGCGAAAGCCUGACGCAGCGACGCCGCGUGAGGGAUGAAGGUCUUCGGAGCGGAAACCUCUGUCAGCAGGGAAGAACGGUCACUGUGCUAAUCAGCAGUGAAUUGACGGUACCUGCAAAGGAAGCACCGGCUAACUCCGUGCCAGCAGCCGCGGGAAUAAGGAGGGUGCGGGCGUUAAUCGGAAUUAGUGGGCGUAAAGCGCUCGUAGGCGGUAUGUCAAGUCAAGGGUGAAAUCCCCGCGCUCAACGUGGGAACCGCCUUUGAAACUGGCAAACUGGAGUGUGUGAGAGGAUAGUGGAAUUCCAGGUGUAGGAGUGAAAUCCGUAGAUAUCUGGAGGAACAUCAGUGGCGAAGGCGACUAUCUGGCACAUAACUGACGCUGAGGAGCGAAAGCGUGGGUAGCAAACAGGAUUAGAUACCCUUGUAGUC